RNAcentral lists this ribosomal RNA (398 nucleotides) under Candidatus Williamhamiltonella defendens. RNAcentral's name for it is "bacterial SSU rRNA". It matches the Rfam family "Bacterial small subunit ribosomal RNA", at positions 27 to 415 of the family's 1533-position model. Lineage: Bacteria; Pseudomonadati; Pseudomonadota; Gammaproteobacteria; Enterobacterales; Enterobacteriaceae. The record is from RNAcentral.
GAUUGAACACUGGUGGCAGGCCUAACACAUGCAAGUCGAGCGGCAUCGAGUGAGCGCAGUUUACUGAGUUCAUGUCGGCGAGCGGCGGACGGGUGAGUAAAGUCUGGGAAUCUGGCCGAAGGAGGGGGAUAACUGCUGGAAACGGCAGCUAAUACCGCAUGAAGUCGCGAGACCAAAGUGGGGGACCUUCGGGCCUCACGCCUUCGGAUGAGCCCAGAUGAGAUUAGCUGGUAGGUAAGGUAAAGGCUUACCUAGGCGACGAUCUCUAGCGGGUCUGAGAGGAUAGCCCGCCACACUGGAACUGAGACACGGUCCAGACUCCUACGGGAGGCAGCAGUGGGGAAUAUUGCACAAUGGGCGAAAGCCUGAUGCAGCCAUGCYACGUGUGUGAAGAAGGC